This 301-nucleotide ribosomal RNA is filed under the name uncultured bacterium. RNAcentral describes it as "partial 16S ribosomal RNA". It matches the Rfam family "Bacterial small subunit ribosomal RNA", at positions 509 to 807 of the family's 1533-position model. The record is from RNAcentral.
CAGCAGCCACGGUAAUACGUAGGUGGCAAGCGUCGUCCGGAAUUAUUGGGCGUAAAGGGCUCGCAGGCGGUUUCUUAAGUCUGAUGUGAAAGCCCCCGGCUCAACCGGGGAGGGUCAUUGGAAACUGGGAAACUUGAGUGCAGAAGAGGAGAGUGGAAUUCCACGUGUAGCGGUGAAAUGCGUAGAGAUGUGGAGGAACACCAGUGGCGAAGGCGACUCUCUGGUCUGUAACUGACGCUGAGGAGCGAAAGCGUGGGGAGCGAACAGGAUUAGAUACCCCAGUAGUCCCUGUCUCUUAUAC